UCGGCGAAAGCCGGAUUAAUACCGCAUGUGAUCAGGUCACCUCGGUGACCGACAUUAAAAGUGGCGCAAGCUACUGCUCAUUGAGGAGUCCGCGGCCUAUCAGCUAGUUGGUGAGGUAAUGGCUCACCAAGGCGUUGACGGGUAGCUGGUCUGAGAGGACGACCAGCCACACUGGAACUGAGACACGGUCCAGACACCUACGGGUGGCAGCAGUCGAGAAUCAAUCUCAAUGUGGGACACCCUGAAGGAGCGACGCCGCGUGGAGGACGAAGGUCUUCGGGUUGUAAACUCCUGUCAUUUGGGAACAAGCGGCUUACGUUAACUGCGUGAGCUUUGAUAGUACCAGAAGAGGAAGAGACGGCUAACUCUGUGCCAGCAGCCGCGGUAAUACAGAGGUCUCAAGCGUUGUUCGGAUUCAUUGGGCGUAAGGGUGCGUAKGUGGCGUCGUAAGUCGGUGUGAAAUUUCGGAGCUUAACUCCGAAACUGCAUUC
This 491-nucleotide ribosomal RNA is filed under the name uncultured Verrucomicrobiota bacterium. RNAcentral's name for it is "bacterial SSU rRNA". It matches the Rfam family "Bacterial small subunit ribosomal RNA", at positions 148 to 628 of the family's 1533-position model. The record is from RNAcentral. Lineage: Bacteria; Pseudomonadati; Verrucomicrobiota.